UAGCAUCACUAAGGCAUUGGGUUGAUCCUUCAGGCAAUCAAUAUAUUUUACUCCUACUUCUAGUUCUUUUCAAAAUUAAAGAACUAAUUCCAUAAAACAGAUUAUGUAUAUAUUGGAAUUAUCUCCUGCUGACUUUAAUGUAGUCCUUGUAGCCUAGAAUCUGUUUUUGAUGCUGCAGUAUUAGCACCUAUGAUUUUGCCUCUGGAAUUGAUGGAUAAAAGAACUAUUUGAGUUUAAGUAGAAUUUUACUUGGAAAUAAGCAGGAGAGGUUCCCUCACUGGUCAAAGCAUCAUGGAGAACAUGAAGUGCUCUAAUUAGACUAAGUGUUGUCUAUGCAAAAGGAUGUCAAUAAGCAAUCAGUGAAUGCAAUAUUGCAUUUUGGUGACAUCCAUCCGGUUUUAUUUCCCACCAAGUAUCAACACUGAAGCUGACAACUACAGGACUACCAGGACACAUCUUGGCUCCUCAAUCCUUACUAUCUUAGAACCACAAAAAACACACAAAUGCAUCUAAUCUUCGUGUCAUGCCACUAUUAGUCUCUAGCCGAUAGCCCAAUUAGCAGUGAUGCCUAAAGAACUAUUCUAUAUAUUUCAUGGUUGAAGUUGCAUUGCUCUAGGGUAUUGUUCAAUGGGAGGAUUAUCCAAUUAUGAUAUGCCACUACAGAAAGGUAAUGAUUAUAUCUCACAAGUCAUAUUAAUAGUUUAAAAUGAAACCAGAAACAUGAAACUUUAUGGGGAAAGGGAACUGGUUUGUACUCUACUACCACUUAAGAGUAUAGAUUUUACAAAUGCUAACUGAAACCUUGCAAGUACAGAACUACAAAUUUCCCACCUCGAAAGAAAUAUAUCGUAUAUUUUAAGCAUCAUACUAU
Molecule: long non-coding RNA, 871 nt
Organism: Solanum pennellii
Lineage: Eukaryota; Viridiplantae; Streptophyta; Magnoliopsida; Solanales; Solanaceae
Exons: 2
Source: RefSeq, a predicted model, not a curated record